CAUUAACAUAACUAGGUCUUUCCUCUACCAGGUCCUCCCAGUCUUGAAGAGAUUAACUGAGAGUCUCGCACCUCUUAAAGGAUUGAAUAGGAAACAUUUGCCAUCUAUGGUCUGAAAGGCCUGCCACCUAUAGACUACUGGAAACUGCCUGCUUCACUGCAUAAGAUGGGGGUCUCACCUGCCAUGUUGCCCAUGCUGGACUCCAACUCCUGGGUUCAAGUGAUCCUCCUGCGUCAGCCUCCUGAGUAGCUGGGGGAACUAUAUGUGCAAGUUUGUUCAUUUUAAAGGUGGCUUUGCCCAGUAAUCUCUAGCUGGGAGCAUCCACUGACCCUAGGAGCUAAUGCACAGGGGAGGAUGAGAGGUACUCCUGGGAGGGUGAGUGCCUUUGGGUUAUCUCAGUCCCUGGCACCUUCACGGGGGGGUGGGCAGGCAGAUGAGCUGUCAUUCUAGAAAGUGCCAGCUAUGCCUGCACACUCCUCUCAGCCUCGAAGGCACACACCCUAAGCUCUGAAUCAAAGGUAGGGCUGCUGCCCCAAAGCCGAUGUGGCUUGUUAAGAACUUGAGAGACUGUAGGUCAUGCAGUCACAAGGGCAUCCACCAGAGAUGGGGACAACCAACAGGAGACCUCAGCCUUGGUGCAGGCAGUCUAAUGAGGGGCCCAGCAGUGCUGUUAUGACAAAGGGCUCUGAGUCAGCAACGCAGCUUGUUGGUGGAGCUACUGAGCAAAGCCUCUUACCUUCUCUGCUUCUUCAAGGCCCAGUGCUUUAUCUGUCAAAUUUGGAGAAGAUCUCUGCCUUGUAGGCUUUAAAUGUUUACUUAGUAGCUCUCAACUUCCUUUCUCUCUUGGCUCAAAUUUUGAAUGUUGGGGCAGGAAACUACUACUGAAUAUCAUUUACUUGAGAUUUCCCUUGUGGCCCAUUAGAAGGAGUGUGUGUGUGUGUGUGUGUGUGCAUGAGAGAGACACAGAGAGAACACACCAAAGGCCACUGUGGGUGAGGGUGGGGUGUUUGGAUGAACACCAGUCUGGAAGAAUCAGGACCCCUGGACUUCUAGGCCUGACCCCACUGCUCCCUGGUCAUGUGGCUUUGGGGAAGCCACUCUAACCUUUCUAGGCCUCAUUUUCUCCAUGUCUAAAAUGAAUACCAUAAAUAAGAAGUAAUUUCUAGUGUAUUAUGCUACUCAAACUUCUGUUCUCAUUUGUUUUUGUGUGUACCUUCUGCAUGCCAGGAACUAAUUCACAGCAUGAAACAAGCCCCUGCAGUCCCAACUCUUAGCAGCCCGUUCCCCCUGGGAGAGGUCAGGUCACACCCAGAUAGACAGCUCUACAACGGAAGGUAGAGGUGAUGAGCAGCAUGCAGGCAAUACGGCAAUACAGCGAGGCAGGGGCGUGGAGAGCGAUGGGCAGGCGCUGUUUGAGCAGGGAGCUUAAGCACUUGAGGCAGUGAGUCCAGAGUGUGGCCUGAGCACGGAGGGGCAGGAAGUGGGCCUGAGGCAAGGAGAUUGGAUUUCAUUCUAAUGGGAGGGCUUUGUUUUUAUUUCCGCCUUCAGAGCUGUAUUUCAGUCCAUGUGCAGCAGGUUAAAACACUGCUCCUCCCAUCUCCUUCCCCACUCUGUGGUGGUGGUGGUGGUGGUUUUGACACUGAAGGGUGGAACCCGGAGGUUGGGGUGAGGAGGAGGGAAGGAUGGAGAGGGUCUGGCAGGGCUUCUUGGAGAGCAUGUGGAGUUGAUGGCAGCGGAAAGAGGCAGGAAAGGGCAUGCAUUCCAGUUCAUCUUGUAUUUCCAAGCUCUGAAGUCACUAUUUAGAAGAAGGAGAUAAGCCCUAUUUCCUCCACUUUUCCCUUUUCCCUUGUAUUUUCUCCUGGAGUUAGAACACAGAGAGAAUUGAUGUCAAUGCCUAUGAUUUGUCUCUCAGCUAACUUUUAAAGUAUUUGCAAGGCUGAAUGAUUAUGUGUUGUGCAUCAAGUGUUCCUGUAUUAUCUCCCAAAGCCAUUUUUUUCCAUGAAACCUUUUGAAAUCAAAGAAGAGAAUCACAACUCUCCUGGCCUCAGGUUUUUCCUGAGGUGGCAGAGGUGUGGCGUGGACAGGGUGGGCUGGUACAAGUGGGAACCUAUUUUCCAGAAGGGUGAGUUCAAAGGCUCAAAAAUAAAGAAGCAAUAAAAUAAAAAAAUAAGCAAAUAAAAGAGCAAGGCUGGGGCUGGAUAAAUGAAUCUAAAGAAAGCAAAGAGCAAACACAAAAGACCCACAUUGCUCAGCUACUUCCCAGACCUCCAAUCAGCAUCAGCCCCUCCAUUACCUAAACUUGGGCCAAGUUGAAAGACUCGAAUUAACUGGCUUUUGUUUUGUCUUUUCUCACAGCUCACCUUCCCUAGAAGCCUGGAGUGGAGGGUGAGUCCCAGAGGAUGGGGAGCAGGAGGGAGGACAGAAAUGUGGACAGAGUGAUGCCCACUCCCUAAUUAGCUCCAUAAUGUCUGAGACUUGAGCUUGAACUUGCUUUCUGUAAGCAAAAGUGGCCCUCUGGCCAUCCCUAAAUACUCAACCAAAGACACUGCCCAAUCCUCAGCAGUACAGAUAAAUGCCCUUUUCAAGAUUUAUCCAUGUGGACCACACUGCACAUAGAUGCCACUCCCUGACUCAAAACCUUCAAAAGUAUCAUAAGGGCCAGUAAGAUUUGAUCCAGGUGGUAUUCCUAGCUGUCUCCUGCCCAUCUUCUCCCAUCGUUCUCUCCCAGCCUCCUUGGUUUCUCUUUUACUUGAAUAGCACAUUCCUCCCUAGGGCCUUUGUAUUUGCUGUUUCCUUGGUCCAGAAGGGUCUCCCUCAGUCAUGCACUUGGCUCCCUCUCAUUUCAUUGAGGACCGUGCUCCAACUUCUCCUUCUUGGGGUCUCUCUGGCUCUCCCAGAUAGCUUGUCCCUCCUGUAAGAAUAUUUAUCUGUCUGUGUGCAUAUCGUCUAUCUCCUUCAUUAGGAUGUAAGCACAGGAGGCACAGGAAGUCGUCUAUUUUAGUCAUCACUGUAUCCGUAGCACUGCAAAUGGUUCCUAGCACAUAGUUGGC
This 3050-nucleotide long non-coding RNA is filed under the name Homo sapiens (human). RNAcentral's name for it is "PREDICTED lncRNA (TCONS_00161863)". The record is from RNAcentral. Lineage: Eukaryota; Metazoa; Chordata; Mammalia; Primates; Hominidae.